RNAcentral lists this ribosomal RNA (984 nucleotides) under Pseudoalteromonas sp. enrichment culture clone 1507a. RNAcentral's name for it is "bacterial SSU rRNA". It matches the Rfam family "Bacterial small subunit ribosomal RNA", at positions 8 to 988 of the family's 1533-position model. Lineage: Bacteria; Pseudomonadati; Pseudomonadota; Gammaproteobacteria; Alteromonadales; Pseudoalteromonadaceae. The record is from RNAcentral.
AGAGUUUGAUCAUGGCUCAGAUUGAACGCUGGCGGCAGGCCUAACACAUGCAAGUCGAGCGGUAACAGAAAGUAGCUUGCUACUUUGCUGACGAGCGGCGGACGGGUGAGUAAUGCUUGGGAACAUGCCUUGAGGUGGGGGACAACAGUUGGAAACGACUGCUAAUACCGCAUAAUGUCUACGGACCAAAGGGGGCUUCGGCUCUCGCCUUUAGAUUGGCCCAAGUGGGAUUAGCUAGUUGGUGAGGUAAUGGCUCACCAAGGCAACGAUCCCUAGCUGGUUUGAGAGGAUGAUCAGCCACACUGGAACUGAGACACGGUCCAGACUCCUACGGGAGGCAGCAGUGGGGAAUAUUGCACAAUGGGCGAAAGCCUGAUGCAGCCAUGCCGCGUGUGUGAAGAAGGCCUUCGGGUUGUAAAGCACUUUCAGUCAGGAGGAAAGGGUGUGAGUUAAUACCUCACAUCUGUGACGUUACUGACAGAAGAAGCACCGGCUAACUCCGUGCCAGCAGCCGCGGUAAUACGGAGGGUGCGAGCGUUAAUCGGAAUUACUGGGCGUAAAGCGUACGCAGGCGGUUUGUUAAGCGAGAUGUGAAAGCCCCGGGCUCAACCUGGGAACUGCAUUUCGAACUGGCAAACUAGAGUGUGAUAGAGGGUGGUAGAAUUUCAGGUGUAGCGGUGAAAUGCGUAGAGAUCUGAAGGAAUACCGAUGGCGAAGGCAGCCACCUGGGUCAACACUGACGCUCAUGUACGAAAGCGUGGGGAGCAAACGGGAUUAGAUACCCCGGUAGUCCACGCCGUAAACGAUGUCUACUAGAAGCUCGGAACCUCGGUUCUGUUUUUCAAAGCUNACGCAUUAAGUAGACCGCCUGGGGAGUACGGCCGCAAGGUUAAAACUCAAAUGAAUUGACGGGGGCCCGCACAAGCGGUGGAGCAUGUGGUUUAAUUCGAUGCAACGCGAAGAACCUUACCUACACUUGACAUC